CAGCCAUGUGGUACACCAGGAAAUGUUUGGGGCCAGAGACCUCAGCUGGAACCCAGCUCCAUCAUGGGACAUGGGAGAGGGCACCACCUGCUCUCUGGCACCCACCUCGAAGGAGCUCCUGCUUCCUCGUGAGGCACUCGCGUUCCUUGUCACAGAUCUCCCGCCGGUUGUCAGCAGUGAUCCUCUUCAUCGCCAGCUCAAGGUCCUCCUUCUGCUUCGCCAAGAAGUCCCGGUCCUGUAGGAGAGAGAGGAGGCAGGCCUUCACCCAGUGGUGGUUUGGGUGUUUCAACUUAUUUUUAUAAUGAAAGAAGAGUCAUCAUGGUCAUAAAGAAAAUUUAGAAAAGCAAAUUCAUGGAGGGGAAAUCUAAGACAUCUAGAGAUCUAUCAAUCAAUGCAACAUGCAGGCUUUAUCUGAACCCUGAUUCAAACAACGAAUUCUGAAAGAAAAAAAAAAAGGCAUUCAUGAGACAAUUAGAAAUGUGACUACUGGUACCUGACUGCCAAGAUGUUAUUAAGUAAUUGUUAAAUAUUCAAAUUUUUAGGUGUGUUUAUGAUACUAUUUUUUUGGGGUUUUUUUUAGAGAUACUGAGAUAUUUACAGGUAAAAUAUAAUGUCUGGGAUGUGAUUCAAAAUAAUACAGUUAGGUGGGGGAGCAAGUGGACAUGAGUUUAUAAUUACUGAGAUCAGUUGAUAGGUGUAAUAGUAGAAGGAACCCCCACAUACCCAUUUCUGCUUAUGUCUUUAAUCUUCCAUAGUAAAGAGUAAAGAAAUAGAAUUUAAAUGAAAAAAUUUUAGGCAACACACUAAAAGAAGCUA
This is a long non-coding RNA of Manis pentadactyla (Chinese pangolin), 816 nucleotides long. RefSeq lists it as uncharacterized. Lineage: Eukaryota; Metazoa; Chordata; Mammalia; Pholidota; Manidae. The record is from RefSeq and is a predicted model, not a curated record. The transcript has 2 exons.